This 903-nucleotide ribosomal RNA is filed under the name uncultured bacterium Marmara15. Its description in RNAcentral is "partial 16S ribosomal RNA". It matches the Rfam family "Bacterial small subunit ribosomal RNA", at positions 1 to 1237 of the family's 1533-position model. The record is from RNAcentral.
AUUUUAGAGUAAAAUUACUGCAGAACGAGCUGCCGAUCGUGCGCGUGACUAUGAAGGCCUUUGGAUUAAAAAUCACUGUAAGAUUGGGAAGAAAACCUCGAGGUCAAUACAAUGAAGCUUGACGGUACCAUCAGAGGAAGCACGGGCUAACUCCGUGCCAGCAGCCGCGGUAACAUUCAGGGACAAGCGUUGUUCGGAUUCACUGGGUAUAAAGGGUGCGCAGGCGGUUUGAUAAGUCAGAGGUGAAUAUGUCGGCUCAACCGGCAAACGGCCCCUGAAACUGUCAAACUUGAGUCCGAGAGAGGUAGGUGGAAUUCCAGGUGUAGCGGUGAAAUGCGUAAAUAUCUGGAGGAACACCAGUGGGCGAAGGCGGCCUUUUUUUUUCGGAACUGACGCUCAGGCACGAAAGCUAGGGGAGGGAACGGGGAUUCCCCCCCCCCGGGUAGUCCUAGCCGUAAACGAUGGCUACUAGGUGUUGGAGGAUUCUUCCCCUUCAGUGCCGCAGCUAACGCAUUAAGAAAACCCACCUGGGGAAGUACGAUCGCAAGGUUUGAAACUCAAAAGGAAUUGACGGGGGGCCCACACAGGCCGUGGAGCAUGUGGUUUAAUUCGAUGCACCCCGAAGAACCUUACCUAAGGUUUGAAAUGCGGGGGACAGAAGGUAGUUAAAACAUCCUUCUUCGGACUUGUGGGCCCGCCGCUGCAUGGCUUUCGGAAGCUCCAGGUCUGGAAAUGUAAGGUUAAGUUCCUGAAACGAGGGGCAACCCCCGGCCUUAGUUGGCAAUCAGGGUAAUGCAGCAAACUUGUGGAGGGCCGCCAGUGACAAACCGGAGGAAGUUUUGGAACAAAGCCAAGCCAUCUUGCCUCUUAACCCCAAGCCCUACCCCCUGCACCAAGGGGGGG